CUACGGGUCGCAGCAGUGAGGAAUAUUGCACAAUGGAGGAAACUCUGAUGCAGCAACGCCGCGUGGAGGAUGACGCAUUUCGGUGUGUAAACUCCUUUUAUAUGUCAAGAAAAUGACGGUAGCAUAUGAAUAAGCUCCGGCUAACUCCGUGCCAGCAGCCGCGGUAAUACGGAGGGAGCAAGCGUUACUCGGAAUCACUGGGCGUAAAGGACGCGUAGGCGGGAUAGAAAGUCAGGUGUGAAAUCCUAUGGCUCAACCAUAGAACUGCACUUGAAACUUCUAACCUAGAGUAUGGGAGGGGAAGAUGGAAUUAGUGGUGUAGGGGUAAAAUCCGUAGAUAUCACUAGGAAUACCAAAAGCGAAGGCGAUCUUCUGGAACAAUACUGACGCUAAGGCGUGAAAGCGUGGGGAGCAAACAGGAUUAGAUACCCUAGUAGUC
This 439-nucleotide ribosomal RNA is filed under the name uncultured bacterium. RNAcentral's name for it is "partial 16S ribosomal RNA". It matches the Rfam family "Bacterial small subunit ribosomal RNA", at positions 339 to 795 of the family's 1533-position model. The record is from RNAcentral.